GAAACCAACAGGGAUUGCCCUAGUAACGGCGAGUGAAGCGGCAACAGCUCAAAUUUGAAAUCUGGCACCUGUGCCCGAGUUGUAAUUUGUAGAGGAUGCUUUUGGCGACGCGCCUUCCGAGUUCCCUGGAACGGGACGCCAUAGAGGGUGAGAGCCCCGUCCGGUCGUGCGCCUAGCCUCUGUAAAGCUCCUUCGACGAGUCGAGUAGUUUGGGAAUGCUGCUCUAAAUGGGAGGUAUACGUCUUCUAAAGCUAAAUACCGGCCAGAGACCGAUAGCGCACAAGUAGAGUGAUCGAAAGAUGAAAAGCACUUUGAAAAGAGGGUUAAAUAGUACGUGAAAUUGCUGAAAGGGAAGCGCUUAUGACCAGACUUGGGCGCGGCGGAUCAUCCGGCGUUCUCGCCGGUGCACUCCACCGCCCCAGGCCAGCAUCAGUUCGCGCCGGGGGACAAAGGCUUCGGGAAUGUGGCUCCCUCGGGAGUGUUAUAGCCCGUUGCGUAAUACCCUGGUGCGGACUGAGGUCCGCGCU
Molecule: ribosomal RNA, 527 nt
Filed under: Emericellopsis maritima
Lineage: Eukaryota; Fungi; Ascomycota; Sordariomycetes; Hypocreales; Bionectriaceae
Description: eukaryotic LSU rRNA
Rfam family: Eukaryotic large subunit ribosomal RNA
Source: RNAcentral